Protopterus annectens (West African lungfish) is the source of this 1978-nucleotide long non-coding RNA. RefSeq lists it as uncharacterized. The record is from RefSeq and is a predicted model, not a curated record. NCBI's taxonomy places the organism in Eukaryota, Metazoa, Chordata, Ceratodontiformes, Protopteridae. The transcript is spliced from 4 exons.
UUAAAUUGAAGUUGUUGCUGACAUCACUAUGCAUCACCAGCAUUUCACAAUAUGUCAUCAACUUACAGGGGUGUGCGUGAUGACAUCAGCUUUGUGUGGCAGACUGCCAGCCUGUCAGAAACUCAGCUGAGGGCUGGGACUGUGUUUACCUUUUUACUAUGUAUGUUCAUGCAUUCACUCUGUGGAUUUAGAACAGCAGGGACGGGAGGACAGCACAGCAGUUGCAGGCAGCAGUAAUGACCAGCGAGCGGAGCAGAGGAGCUGUUGAUUAACAGUUUGAACUUCUGUCAGCCAAGCCCAAAAAGAAGCGACUUGCAAGUACUUUCUACAGUGCAGUGCAGCACAACAGAGUCCAGUCCACAAAGCGUCCUCACUACCAGGAAUCCCAGACCCUGCUCAGGAUGAGAAAAUUUACUUUUUUCACUAGCUCAACCUCCUCUGCCUCCAGGUAACCAAUUUUCUCUACAUGGAAGGCAAUCAGCUGUCAUCUUAUGAUAUUACAGCAGAUGGUAAUGUUGCAGUCACUGCUAUGUUAAACCAACCUUACUACAGGCAGUCACAAAGUCUCAGCAAGGAGACACAGAAUAGAUAUAAUAUCCUUGGCAGAAGAGAAGAUGGCCAUCAUUAUGAACAUACAUUGUCUGGCAAAACUGAAAGGCAAUUCCACACAAUACAACGUUGAGUCUGAUGAAAAGUCAGUAACCACAACCCUUUCAGAAAAGCAGUCUUCAUCAAUGUCAUGUGGGUAACUGGCCCUGCUUCAGCUGAUACAGAGGCCGUGUAAACAUCUGACAAGCAUUACAACCAACUAUGAGCCAGUAAGGGAAUUCAAAACAGGGUGAUCCUGUUCCAGGAUAUACAACCGAAGAAGAAAACAAGCCUUCAUUGUUGCUGCUACUGCUUCAGGGCUGUGGAAUUUGUACCAACCAAUAUUAAAGUAUCACAUCUUAAUAUGCCCUCAGAGCUACAUUUAGGAAACAGCUGCUUGAAAUAAGCAAAUAUGCAUGUACAGCAAUAACUCGAAUGUGUGCAUAAUUAUUUUCUGUACAAUCUGAGUCUAGCAGCAGUCCAAUUUGCAAAUGCUGAAUGUAUCUAUACCAUCACUGCAAACAUUACAACACACACUACACAAGCUUAUUCAGAUUACUGACUGAUAAAUGGGGUCCCUUGUAGAAUUCUAUGGACUGUAAUUCUCAUUCACAGAGUUCACAGGGUAUAACAAUGAAUAUGAAGAAGUGUAUAUUAAGUCCAAGGUUGCAUUAUUUCAAAGUACUCCUCCAACCUGGAGGUACAGUGACCACAAAGGUGAUAUACAUAUAUCUAUGGUGCACAGGCUGUGAUGAUUGGGCAUAUAAACCCCAUUGCCACAAAUAUGUCACAGGCAAUGUCCACACUGUUGCAAGCUAAAGAAAUGUCACACUGUACAGCUGAAAAUCAGAGUUAUAAUACAUGGAACUUCUUGGAUUUCAUCAACUUCAGAUUAUUAUUUUGCGUGCGCACACACAAACACACACACACACACACACACACACACACACACACACACAUACACAGAUAUAUUUAUAUAUACAUACAGUAUUUUCCAGAAAAGAGAAAGUUAAAUCUACUACUAUAUUUUCUCCCAAUUCACAAUAAUACUGCCCUUAGAUAGACAGACAUGUCCAAUAAGUCAAAAAUCACAAAAUACUGUUUCCCUUUAAAUAUCUGAAUGGCAACAUUUAGCUCAGAGCAGCCCGUCAUCAACAAGUAGAUACCAGUGGUCUCUACAGUAGAGUUAAUGUACAAACUCUUAAGCUCAUAAACAAAUAAAACACCAACCACAAUAAUUUAAAAUUUAAUUAGUAAAGUUGAAAUAAAUAAGAAAGUUUUCCACUUGAAAAGUAAAUGUAAAUAAGAAUUAUUUUGUGAAAGAAAUAAACACUACUGAUUAGACUGAUGAUGUACAUUAAACUCUAGCAACUAGUUUAGUUCCUAACUG